AAAAAGAAAUAACUAGAGGAGAAGCUUAUGGAACCCCCGAGGGCCAGAGUCACUGCGGAGCAGGCGAGAUGAUGCUCCGGACCCCGCCGCAGCGGAAGCGCCGCGCUGACGCCGACCUCGCCGUUGUUGAAUCCAUCGGCGGCGUGACUGGCCGGAGCCCUAUCUCCGACCGCCGCCUGGUGCUCUACGACCGCCCCAACGCCCUCGUAGCCGCCGGCGCCCCCGGGGAGCCGUCCGACGACAUGGUCUGUACAUACCACUGCCGCCAGAUGGUGAAAUCGGAGUUCAUGGUGGCACUGAACACUGCAGAGAAGCAAGUUCAGGAGUAUCAAACAAAACUUGGUGCAUUGGAGGAGCAAUUAUCCAAGAGUGAGGAUGAAAGGAUGCAGUUCCAGGAUAAACUGAACUAUGUCGAGCAAGAACUGGCAGCAACAAAAGGGCGGGAGGGUGCAUUACAGGAACGAUUACUAAAGGAGUUGGGUGACUAUCAGGAGUGGUACCGUGAGCAAGUAAGAAAAAUAAAUGAACUUGAGGCACAACUCAAUAAAGAGACCAAUUCUAGAAUCAGUGCUGAAUCAUCAGCAUCAUCUGCAAAGGAAUCGAUCAAAGACUUGGAAGGAAAUUUGCAGCGAUUAUCAGAAAGUUCAGAUAGGGAGAAGAAAACCCUUAAUAGGGAAUUUUCAUAUUUGAAAGAUGACCUAACCUCAUCUGUUUCCAAACUUAACGCUGAGCUUGAGAGAAUGAAACUCAGGGCAGAAAACUCUGAGAGUGAAGCAAAGUUAUUAAUCGAGCAGUUGGUGGACUUGAAAAAGCAACUUGACAAGUGUCUUCACGAAAAGAAUGAUAUGGAGCACAAGCUAUUGAAUUCCAGUGCUUUGUCUCAUCAACAUGCUCCAACAGAUGACCAGAAGUUGAUCAAGCUUUUGCAAGAGGAGCUCCGGAAUUAUGAAAAGGAAGUGCAUGAAGCUAGAAGGUUGAAAUCUUCCCACACAAAUGUUGAGUUGCUGAAAGAAAAACUAUUGGAGGAGCAGGGGCGCAGAGAAAGAGCAGAGAUGGAAUUAUCAAAGCUGCAGGAUAUUGAAGCCAAAGCACAUAAGUUGGAGCUUGAAUUAGCAUCAUGUACAGCGCUGCUCAGCAACAUACCUGAUGUGUCUUCUUAUGGCGACAUACCUCAAAAGUUUGCAGAUUUGCAAAAGCAAGCAUUGACAAAUUUGAACAAAGUUGGUGAAGUAACAUCACGGCUGAAAGAAUUAGAGGUUGCACUGGAAUUUGCUGAUCUUGGCAAGCAAUGUGCGGAAGGUGAAGCUACCCUUGCUAAAGAGAGGGCUGAAAGUGCUACCAGAGAGGUCAAGCGGCUUGAACUUAUGCUUGCUGCAAUCAGUGAAGAAAGAGAUAGACUGAGAAAGGACCAUGAUAUGCUCCCUAAACAAAAAUCUGGUGAUGGGGAUGAUACACCAUUCAAGAAUAUGGAGUCAGAUCUAUCUGGAAUGGAGAAAAUAAUAAGAGAGCUGGAGGGCACUAUACACGAGCAGAAAGAACUGAUUAGUCACCAGCAUGCCGAACUCAAUAUAAUGAAUGAAAGAUUAAGCCUUGAAGCAAGGAAAGUGAAGUCUUUAGAGCGAGAGGGAGACCAAAUGCGCUCUCAGGUGGCCUUACUAGAGUCAAAGUUAGGCCAUGGAGAUUACUCUACCUCAAGCACAAAAGUACUGCAUAUGGUAAAUACUCUUGCAGUGGACAGUGAAGCAAAGCAGACAAUAGAAGCACUACAGGCUGAACUAAAGAAAACAAAAGAGAGGCUGCAAGCAGUUGAAGAACUGAAAGGACAAGCUGAUGCUGGAACUGUGGUAGACGCGAAUAUUGCUGAAAAGCUAGCACAACUUAAAAAUCAAAUUGCCACACUUGAGAAACGUGAAGAAAGAUAUAAGACAGUGUUUGCAGAGAGGAUCUCGGUCUUCCGGAAGGCCUGCUGCUCACUUUUUGGUUACAAGAUAGUGAUGAAUGACCAGCAUCAAUCAAAUGGGAUCCCUGUAACACGCUUUAUUCUGCAAUCAGUUUAUGCCCAAAGUGACGAUGAAAAGCUUGAGUUUGACUAUGAAUCAGGAAGCACUAAUAUUGUGGUCAACGACUACACGUCUCAACAUGAAAUUGCUCAGCAGGUAUUAAGCUGAUCGAUUGCAUUUAACUUGCAGACAUCCGUGCAUUGUAGAGGUAGACCACAAGCUUAUGGUGAUUGAGAUCACAGGUUUCAAGUUCCCAAUCUCCACCUUAAAAUAAAUGAUAUGCCAGUCCUCUUGUUUGUGUAUGUCACUAAAUUGCAAGUCAAAAUAUGGCAUCUUCAAGGUUCCGAAAUUCUGAAACUUGAAUCAGGUCGAGGUUUUCAUAAGGAAGAUGCAUUCCAUCCCAGCCUUCACUGCUAACCUGACAAUGGAAUCCUUCAACAAGAGAAGUAUAUGUUGAAGACAUGAAUCGAGUGACAAGUUACAUUGCUGGAUAUUGUUUGUAUGUUUGAUGCUUCCUCCAUUGAUGAAAGUGUAUUCAAGCACUCACAGGGCUUUAUGUUUUACCUUGCAUGCUCUCACUUAUGAAGAGAAUUUCUGCUUUGUCAAAUUGUUAAAUGUAGUGGCACUAGAUCCAUGGUCGGACAAGCUUCUCCAAAAAGUUAUCACCCAAGGUUGUUCUGUACCUUCCAUAACAUUUUAAGUUACUUAGUUGCAUCAUAACUUUCAAUUGUAAACCCGUUUGAUGUUCUGUGAAAAUCGUGUGCAGCUGAGGCACCGGGGAUCGAUAAUUGAAGUUGAUGCUGGAAGCUUUUGGUUGUUUCUGACGUUGUGGUGAUAUCCCAUAUAUCCAGAUUUUUGUUGUGACAAAGCAUAUAUGAGCAUGGCUUGUACUGUACUGAUGAUAUAACAUUGAAGCUUUUGACUUCUCUCAA
Phragmites australis (common reed) is the source of this 2932-nucleotide RNA transcript. It is a transcript of the gene named mitotic spindle checkpoint protein MAD1-like, with no coding region annotated. NCBI's taxonomy places the organism in Eukaryota, Viridiplantae, Streptophyta, Magnoliopsida, Poales, Poaceae. The record is from RefSeq and is a predicted model, not a curated record. The transcript has 16 exons.